CAGACCUAUGGCUGGUUUGAAAAAUAAUGUAAUAUAUGGUAUUAAAAGGCAUGGGAUGGAAAAUCUAAGCCUAUUAGUGGCUCGAGCCCACCCAUGGACCAACCUCCCUGACUGUCAUACAAGCUCUGGGCCCAAAAGUGCCCAGAAAGGCCAUCUUUAGGGCAGGCAGCCUUUUCACUCUCUGCCUCUGUCUUUCCUGCUCAUCCUACCACCCCGACACAACCUGACCUUGGUGUGCAGCCACACUGCAUCAGCCAGAACACAGAAGAACACCGGGACAAGGAAAUCUGUUGGACCUAACUCAAAGGUGCCUAGUUAGGCUUCAGGGCUCACUGGAGUUUCCUUAAGACCAGGUUGGUCCAAGGCACCGGAGACUUUCCACUGGUUGCCAGACUGCUGUUUAGCUGAAAGCCCUGACAGCUGUCCGCUGGGCCUGCAGCUCCUUAACUCUGGAACUGUAGCUGGGGACUCCCGCUUAAUGUCCCAGAUGUGCUUGGUCUUCCCAGAACUCAGAAGAUGCUCUAAAGGGCUAAGUGUAGACCUCUGUUUACCUUGGCCCUGGACCCAGCCAUGGCUUCCAAAUUCUCCAUCCAAAGAACCCUAGGCCUGGCUGCAUGCUGAUCGAAAAAGCUCCCUUUGGGAGACCUCAUCUCCGGGUCAUUUGAUCAGCUCUGGGUCCAAAUCUGUCCUCAAUACACAUUGGACAAACGGCAACUACUGGCUCAAAUUGUGAACUGCCAACUUCUGAUAUCUAAACUGAUUUAGGUAACUCUGUGAGAUGGAAUGGUAACCUAAUGGGAGGCCUCAUCCCCCACAAAAUCCACAGUUCACUUUGAUCUUUCUCAGGGUUUAUAGCUACACCUAGAGUCAGGAUGCCCAUAGCCAUUUCUGCUGGGCCUCCAAACUUGCAUCUUUCCUAUCUGAGAUAGCACAGAACUCUCGGCCUUGUGCUUAUGGCCUACUUGUGUUUCUGCCUCUCCAAGCCUGGUAAGUCCCUGCUUGUAUCUUCAGCUGCUGAGCAUUCUGCUGGACGGUGGUGGUGCACACUUUAAAUCCUAGCACACGGGAGGCACAGGUGGGCCGAUCUCUGUGGGUUUGAGGUCAGCUUGGUCUACAGAGCGAGUUCCAGGGCAGGCUCCAAAGCUACAGAGAAACCCAGUCUUGAAAAACCAAACCAAACAAAACCGAAACAACAACAACAAAAACAUUCCAGGUUGUCUGCUCCCAUCUGCAGACAUACACAAACUGGUUAUGGAUAUGCAGAUCACCAGGUUGAGUCUUACAGAGAUUCAGAUGUCUUUUGAGUAUGGAUAAUAUGGACAAAUUGUUGCAUGCUGUCCCAUUCUGCUGAAAAGGCUGGCUCUGGAGUUGGAAUUUGGACUAUCUGCCCCAGACUCAAGAAUGUUUGUGUAAGUUUCCUCCAAAGUCUCUGUCCAGGCUCAGGCUGACCACCUGACUCUGUGACAAGGAGGAGAGAAAAACAAAACAUCCCAGGAAAAGACACUUUGCUCUUGAGAACACCUAAGAAGUAAACUUUUCCUGUAGAGGUUACGGCAGAGUGUUUAAAGUCCUGAAUUCUCCCUCUUUCUUCUUGGUUUUGUUUACUAUCUUUAAAGCUUUUGUUGAAACUUUAACUUUUUGUAUUUUACCAUUUCUAAGUUCAUUGAGUAUGAUUUAACAAGGAUGUAUAGAUCAUCUUUUACCAUAACAGGCCAUGUAUGUAACUUGGAUUCAGUUCUUGUUUAAGAAGAGGGUAUGUGCCUGCUGGGUAUCAUGUCACUUCCUGCCAUCUUGGCUAAUGACCUAGGCUUACCUUGGAAUGCCGUGUGCCUUGAUGCCACCUUGGAAGCCAUGUGACUUAGCCACCAUCUUUAUUAAGGUUAAAAAAAGGGCAUGCCGUGUGACUUCCCGCCAUCUUGGUUAAGGUGACCAUGUGAUAUAAACCAAUCAGAGCAGCACCCAUAAAGUGACUACACCCACUGAGCUCUACUUAUGUAUCUCUGUUUUAUUAGACUAAGGAGGCAACACCAGCUUACAAGAUAAGGUUUGUUUUGAAUCUGAGUCAUAGAAAAAAAACUGGCAUUUUUUAAAACUAGACUAAAAAAGACCAAUCUCUCUGUGGACCUUACUUAUGGUUUUAAAUUUAUUUUAAAGGGAUUGAUCUUUAAUUCAAGAUUUACAUUUUUAAGGUUUAAAAUAAACCUUAAAAUUGUAAUAAAAUUAUAAAAAUCCCAAUCUUAUAAAAGAGUUACUUACUAAUUAUACAUUGUUAAAGAUAAUUAAUGUAUACAAGCUAAUUGGUCAGUCAUGCUAAGUACAGAUGUAAUUUACAGAGAUCAGGUUGGAAGGAGAGAUCUGUUUUUAUCUCCCACCCUCUAGUCUCCUGUUACCUUCUGCCAUAUAGUAUUCUGUAUAUGUUGUCAAAUUAAGACUAAAGCAAGUAAAGUAAAGCAAGUUUAAAGGAAACAGCUUGUUUGAUGUAAAAUAAUAUGCAAAAUCAAGUAUGUCUUGAAAAUUGGUCAUGGAAAAAAGUGAAUGCUUGAGCAAAAUGGGUUAAAUUUACAGUACACUUGAAUGACAGGGAUGCACCCGACUCAAGUAGUUUCCUUAGAUGGAGCACAUGUUCCCUUGGAUGGAGCACCACCAGAGUAAGUUGCGUGCUGACCUCCUCUCAGGACAAGGAUGCAUGGAAAUAAGAAUAAAAUAAACAAACAGCAAAACAAAAACCCCACGCCUUCUCUAAAGAAUUACUCCUGGAGUCUCACAUGAUGGGAGAAUGGAGUCUCUCUCUUGCCCAGCAGAAGAUCUCAGAGUCCACACCCACACCCUAAACAUCUCAAACAGCAGAAAGGCAAAUGUCAAUUACUCUGCCCUCAGUGUCUCCUGAACUGACGCGUGAGGCUGCUGUGGACAGGGAACAAACCUUGCCCGUAAGCCUACCACCGACUGGCGUGGGACCUGCAGGCUACUUCAAGGGGCCAUGUCCUUUACCCUGGUAUUCAGUUCCUCCUCUCAUGGUCCCUGAUUAUAGGACAAUGCCAGACACUGCCAUCAAUCUCACAGCUUUGGGAAGUUGUUCAGAAUAGCCAAGGAUGUCUUUGGCAGUUGGUUUUGUGUCUGUGGAGUCGAUAAAUGGCUCUCUUAAUUGAUAUCCCAAGGCCUCAGGUUCUUCAGGACUAGAUGACUCAGAGGAAGGAGUUUCUCUCCAACCUGGGCUAACCUGUGGUACUUUGAAAACAUAAUCCAGUCAGAGAGUUCUGGGGCUAUGCCGGUGUUCUCACCUGGAAGCCUACAAGGAGCACAGGGCUUUGGCCAUGAAGUAAAAUGCCUGAGUAAAGAAGAGACAUCACUGUUCUUCAGGCAUUCAGUGAGGCUUGUGAAUAUUUUCUUAAACAGUUCAAAAGCCAAAAGCUCAUCCAAUUUAAUCUUGCUCAAUUAUACCUCUAAACAACCAAUCUAUUUUUAAAUAGACUGAUGUGAAAAAACAUGCUUACUACUGUCACUAGAGUGGUGACCUAGAGAUCUGUCCUUCUGCAGAAGGAGCCGAGGGUUGGUUUUCUGAGCCUUCUUCUUUAAUUCAUCCAUGUUACAUGUAAACUGUUUGUUACAGAUUUGAUGUGACUGACUGCUUUCACCUCUUGGUUCAGUGUAUGGAAUGAGAAUAUAGAGAUUUUUUUUUAGGUUUCUGUUAAUAGGGUUAAUUUUACAAAACUUUGUAAAAUGAAUCAUCUACUCUUGACAAGUCAGACACUGUCUCUGGGAAUAUAGUUUUUAAAUUGGAAAUCAUUUCUUUCUGGGGAAUACAACUUAGAAUUAAGUUGUCUCUUUACACAGCCUGACAGUAUAAAAUGUAUUCACUAUAUAAUCUUUGAAUAUAACUAUAGCAAUUUAUAUUAAAAUAUGUAUUAUCAUGUUUUCAAAUACUGGAUGUGGUCUUUUAAGGUAACAGUUCUAAUUUUUAAAAUUUAAACUUGUCAAUUUUUUUCUAGCCAAAAAUUUUGUUUAAUUUGAGAUUUGCAUUAAGUAGUAGCUGGCGUUGUUACUAUUUGAAAUGGAUAUAUGCAGUUUAUCAGACUUGCAAGCAAGGGUACCACUCACACACUUUCUGUUCAGAUUCAUCCAUUGGACCCUGACUUUUCUUUUUUUCAAGACAGGGUUUCUCUGUGGCUUUGGAGGCUGUCCUGGAACUAGCUCUUGUAGACUAGGCUGGUCUCAAACUCACAGAGAUCCACCUGCCUCUGUCCAAAGUGCUGGGAUUAAAGGUGUGUGCCACCAUCACCUAGCUUGGAUCCUGACUUUAGCUGACUUCUUUUACAAAGCUCCCAGGUGCUUGUUCCUCAUGCAGGAGACUGAUGUUCAUACAGCCAUUCCGUCACCGUAUCGUUCUGCAGAACUCUGGCACAUGGUCCAGCCACUUGCACAUUUGUGUUUAAUUCAAGUUAACAAUGAUGUAAAAGUUUUCCUCACUCAACUCUGUCUCUUAAUGUCCCCCUCAGAAUUGUACAGUUACUGUCUCCUGGCUUAUGUUCUGGGUCUUUGUCGACUGUUAAGUUCUCUUAUAGCCUCUUGGAUGGGCCCUCUUCUGAGACACUGUAGCUGCUGUUCCCUCAUUGCCCUUCUGUCAGCCUUGAAGCAGUUACUGAAAGACUGAUGUUUCCAAGCCCCUAAGAGCAGUUUGGAUGACUUCUACAAGAGGGCUACUGGGCUCUGGACCGUCCAAUUUGUCUCUCUUCUUGCCACUCUGGGUAUUGUUUUUUAGGGACUCAGAGCUGAAACGGCUGAACUGAGCCUCCUUUGCCUCAGUUACCCUCUCUGUGUCACCGGCUCAGCUCAGCGCACCAUCCUUCCGUACCAGCUGGACACCAUGACUGCUGCAGCAUUCAGAGGUUAUAGGAGCAGAUCUGACUCCUGCUAAGGAUGGGAUCUGUGUGCUCCUCGAACAAUCCUGUUUCCACACCAACAAAUCCUAACUGGUUUGAGAUGGGGCCUAAAGACACAGGGACCAGACAAGCUUCCUUCUGGUUCCCUCCUGCUCUGGUUCCUCCCCUGGAUCAAUCACCCUUUCCUCUUCAUUGUCCUCACUCCUAUGCUGUCCCCUCUCUUUUAAACGUUUCACUUUCUGAACUUCACCCUAUUCCCAAACAGAAUGUUCCACACAAGCUCUCCCAGUAACGCUCACCCUGCAAUACUCCAUUUGCUCCUGAUAGACCUGCAACAGCUCUUUUAGAUGCUGCGGAGAAACUCUGACUAAAAGGAACCUUCUUUCCAGGCCAGAUGCAAUUCUUUAGAUCAGUUCUCUAGUUCCUCCUGUUCCCCUCCUUUGAUGCCCUGGCUCGUCUGCUGGCUCAUCCCGUGCUAUGGUCCUGGCAAUGGGGCCAGUCACUGUCUCCCUGAAUCAACUCUACCUAUGCCCCCUCCGCCCACCUUUGUUCUUUCCAACCCCUCAACUGUCCUAGAAGAUCUGUUUCACUCUAUCACCAAAUUGCCUGCUUUCAGAGCUCUACUAAUUAUUUUCCAAUUCUCUUCAGGAGUACAGGACAGCCAUCACUUGAACCAUCACAGCGGAUCAAGUUUAAGACUCUCCUCCUGCUACAUGGCCAGAGGACCCCCCUCUUCGAUGGACCUAGGCAUAGACCCUCCUCAGUGGAAAGCGGAUGUAACACCCCUGCCCUGCGUUUGAAUAUCCUUUCAGAGUUAGGAAUGAUAGUUUCCUGCUGAAGAACUAUACUUCCCAGCUUCCCUUGCAGACUUGGAAGUCAUUCCUGCCCCUGUAAGGGGCCUCCACCCAUCUUCCCCUGUAGGCAUUUUGGCAGUCUGAACGACUUCCUAAAACUGGCUGAACUGGACCUCCUGAGAGUGAUCUGUAGUUGGUGUGUCCCAGCCUGGCACAUGCUGGCCGGAAGAUGGAGAGAGUCUUCCUCCACCCUCCUUUCACACCACAGAGCUAGGCCUCCUGUUUCACGUGCUGCCUUUCUCAAGCCCCAGAAGAGAACGGCGCUCCUCGUCCUCCGAGGCACUGAUGGCUUUCUUCUGCUGAAGACGUCAGUGUUUGCUCAGUGGUGUUGAGUCUUAAACAAGCAUGCGCGCGACAUGCAGCGGAUGAUAGAAGCUGUCCUGUCUGUGCAAAGAUAUUCUCACACGAUCAUGUUUCCAUCAUCAUCCCGGGCCCCUGCAGUGGGCAAAUCUCUGCAGCUACUGAAAGAUAACAUUAGUCCUCAUACCACGUAAAAUGACUAGUUCCUCCGGGUGGGGAUGGCAUAGGAGGAAAUGCCCUCCUCUCUCUUCGGACACGGAGAAGGAGGAAACUCCCGAGACUUUGAGGAAACAUGGACGAUUCUUUGCUCACGAAGCAUCUCCUUUGACUUUGGAGUCUGGACCGCCAUCAUUCCAUUUUGGCUUUUGGAUCAAGAGAAUGUGUUUGCUGAGGCUGAUAGAGGCUCCAUCUAGGGCUGAACAUUCAAUAGUCAGGUGCUCUUAACACUCUGGCCAUGCAGUCAUCUCUGCAGUAACAGCUCCCCUCUCCAAAAAGAAGCCAGUGUGACCAGUCAAGGCGCUAAAACACAUUGAAGUGCAACUUAAGGAAGAAAGGCUUUGUUUUGGCUCUUAGACUGAGGUCCAGCCCAUCAUGCCAGGAAAGUCACAGAAGUAGGAGCCUGAAGCAGAUGGACCCGUUCCUUCUACAGGCAGGAAGAUACGUGGUACGACCAGAUGAGGAAAAGGCUGGGGAGAGGAGACAGAGAGGAGCGGUGAGAGACGCCAUGCUGCCGAGGGAGUAAACGUGUCAGAUUACAGACCCUUGGAAUGCAGUGGAACCAAUCACAGAGCAAGCAUGGGCAAUUACCUCCUAAAAGGCAAAUCUGACUGCCGAGUGGUCUGCCUGUGCAAGCUGCCUCCAGGUAAGUGAGCUGCAAACUGCUGCCUGGGCCUGGAGUUGCAACUCUGCUUGCCUCUUCCAUCCAGCUCUCUCUCCUGCUUCAGACUCCUCCCAGCUUCCAGAUGUACAGACUCCUUCCCUUGACAAUGCUCUAGACUAUACUCCAAGGCUCCUGUCCUUUGACAAUGCUCUAGACUGCACCCCUGGGCUCCUGUCCCUUGACAAUGUUCUUGACUGCACCCCAGGACUCCUGUCCCUUGACAAUGCUCUAGACUGAACCCCAGAACUCCUUCCCUUAACAAUGCUUUUGAUGCCCCCCAAACUCCUACCCUUGAUAGUGUUCUAGACUGCACCCCAGGGCUCCUUCCCUUGCAAUGCUCUAGGCUGCACCCCAGGGCUUCUUCUCUUGACAAUGCUCCUGAUGCUCCCCAGGCUUCAUAACCUCUGACUUCUUCAACAGGAAGUUUUCCCCAAAUGACACUUCAUUAAAUUUCUCUCCUGUAUCUUCUAUACUGCUUCUAUACCUUAAAGUUCUUCCAGAAGAACAGAGCCAUGGGAGACUCCUGUCUCUUUAAUUUGAUGUCCUGGAUGGUUUCUGGCUCUCUCUAGCUAGUGGCCUGAUGAGUUUAUGGGUGAGGAAAGAGCAUCUACACUUCCAACCUUGAUUCUGAAGCAGGCAGAUAGACAGAGCCGCUACUCAGGGCCACCUAAGCCAAUCUUCACUCAUAGAUGCAAGAGCUUCUUACAGUCUGAGCCCAGGUCUCUGGCAUGGCCCUCCUCUUCCCAGGGCCAGAAUGGCCCUCCGUUGUCCUUUGGGUUUAUGUAACUUGUCUUCUUGACUGUGCUUUGGAUUCUGCCUGUCCUGGCCAAUGACUUUGAGCUACCUCAAGGAACACUCACUCACAUGCUCCCUUCUAGACAUCACGGAAGAAAAGCAAGGUCUUUCGAAGUCCUGCCCCGCCCCAUCCUACCUGCUCCUUCCCCAAGACCUUCUGCCUCAUCUGUCAACCAAGAAGGCAGUUAAUAUACAAGCUUCCAAGAUGGUGGGUCAGAACUGAAGGCUGCUCAUGCCCAGGAGUGGAAUAGAAGAUUCCAUGCAAAAGCCUUGAAGGGCCAGACAGGAUGGCGCCUUUCUGUGAGCCCAGCACCCAGGGGACUGAGACUGGGGAACCCCGAGUCUGGGUUACACAGUAAAACCUUUUCUCAAAACAAAACGAAAUGGAAAAAAGCAAACUGCUGGAGGAUUUUUGGUGGUAAACCAAGCAGAGAUGCUCGGCAGCUUUAAAGGUACUGUGCUUGCGGCUGUCGGUGCCAGAAGCAGCAACUCAAAGCGGCAUAAGCAAGACAGGUUGUUAUUCAUACAGGUGCUUGGAAAUUAUCCACAAAGGGUUCAGGCUGAGGCUGGGCAAUCUCACUAAAGACCGGCUUUCUUCCUAUGACUGAAAAGUGACUUUCAGGUGGUCUUGGAGACUUCAGAUCUCAUUGUUGAAUCCAGGAAAGAAGAGGGAAAUACCUUGCUUCUGGCAUUUCUAAAAAUUCUUUUACUGUAAACAGACUUAGGUGGCUUCUGCCCUACUUCCAGCCAAUGGCCAUGGCUACGGGGAGGGAAUGAGCAGAUGGGAAGGUCUGGUGUCUCCUGGAAUGACAGACGUUGACUCCUCCAGAACACUUUUGUGUAGAAAGCAAAAAAGGGAAAACAGGGACACGUUCUAUGGAGGCCACUAACCAAUGUGCAUCCGUGGCCUGAUGGGAAUCCUAAAAUGCUGAUCAAAGCAAUUUCCCUUGGUGAGUGGGGAAAUGACUGGCGGCUGGGUGCACACACUGUGGGACUGUGAGCUGGCCUCUGCCUAGAGCAGGAGAAGAGUGUUUGGUUGGGAUUUCACAGCAUUUGGGCAGGUACACAGUUGGGCUGAGCACACAUGCUUGCAGGUGUCUCUGGAAUGGAUACCAGAGCCACGAGUUGGCACCUUGCUUGGCCAUUCCUGUGGCCACGUUCCCAUUGUCCCCACAUAGGUGUGGCAACAUGAAUGUCUCUCAUUACAUUUCCUUGUAAUCUGGACAUUAAUCCAAGCACAAGGAAUGUAAUGCUAACCCACACGAUGCAGGAGCAGCAACCUCAGCCUUCUUGUCGUCACAGGUUAGCAGCACAGCCCCCUGUGAGAGCUUGUUUACUUAUGCAAUACCCAGGUUUUACUUGGUUCAAUGUACUGUGUUACAACAACCUAGCAAUUUGCAUGUUCUUCCUGAUUAUCUGGUAAUUAAACCCAGUAAGUACAAACAUACUGUAAUUAUCGUGUAACCGGCCAUCUGGACGGAGGGAUGGAAAUAACCGUGUAUUUACGCUAUAGCUGUAUGAUAAUUAUGACGUAAUGGAAUGAUCAACCAUGAACAAGAAAGAGGAUUUGCUGAGAGUCACGAACAUGCUUUAACAUGUUUCUAGAAUUAAUUCUAGCAUUAAUUUUCUAGAAAUAGCCAGCAGCACUGAAAGGCAACUGGCUGAUGAAUCCUAUCCAAAUGGAGUCACUGAAGGCAUCGCUCAAGAUGAACUAAUAAGGAAGGGAAGGCAGAGCAGGAAGCCAAUGUGCCCACUCAUUUAUUUGGAUCUUGUUUACACUUCAUUGGACAUCACUAAGCAUUUGUUUAUUUGAACUGUUCCCCCAUUUGCAUCAGACAAAUCAGUGCCCAUCAGUAAAUGAGAAUGCGUUUAAAAUUGGCUGAUAUGUUUUGUUUUAUAGGUCUUAGACUCUUGGAGAAACAAAUAGUUUGCAGAUAAUAGCAUUUGUACUGUUGUAAAACUGUGUGUAAAGCACCCUCACCCUGUUGGACAGAGUGGUCACUGUAGUAACCUGGCCAGUGGGUGGCUUGAACAUUAAGCAUCACGCAGGGAUACGUAUACAGGAGGAGAGGAGGGAAAAAAGCGAAUGUGGGGCAGGAAGGUGGUCAAAGUCGUAACCAGGUAGGCAGCUGGCAAACAUCCAAGCUACUAGGCCUGAACUGAGCUGUCUCUAUCAAGUUCAAGAUGUUGGUAAGGUAAUAUGCAUCACACAAUGUUUCCUUAGAAGCAUUUUUAAAGAGUUGGUUGUAAUCACACUCACAUAAAGAUGCGGAUUCGGGGUUUUUUAUUUUCAAUUUUCUCCUCCUCCUUCCUCCUUCUCCUCCUCCCCUCGUUUCUCUCCCUCUCACCUUCUUCCUUCUCUUUUUCCUCCUCUUCUUCAUUUUUGGUAGGCUCUUGCUAUAUAUCACAUGCAGGCCUCGAGCUCAAGGUCUUCCUUCCUCGGCCUGCUGAGUGCUGGGUUCUAGGUCUACAGGCAUAUGCCACCAUGUCUGACUUUCAUUUGAAUCAUAGAUUUCUGUUUCAGAAACCCAAAGGAACAUAUGGAGAAGGUACUUCUAAACCAUCGUUGUAGGAUGUGGCUGCCUCUUUCAGGUGGCUUUUGCUGUCUCUAUUCCUCCUAUAAGUGUUCCUCACGUCAUUGUGCCUGUUGGUGAUUCAGCAUCUCCCAAAGGACACUGGGCUGUUUUCUCUGCCAUUUUCUUUCCAAUCCCACCCGUGUUGGACAGCAUCAUCUGCAGCUUAAUCAUUUAUGGUAGCUCUGAAAUGGUAUUUACAACAUUGAUUGAGUUAGGAUUUGAAGGUUUUUCUCCCUGUAAAUAUUUAUAUGAAUGUUAUAUGAAUAAAAGGAAUCAAGUGAACAAAGCAGUCUUUUAGGCUAAGAUUACUCAAGCUCCUUCACUCUGAGUCCAGUUACAGGAUCUUCACCGAAGUGGUUUAUCACAGGUAAAGGUUAAUGAAUACACAGGUCUGUGUUAUUUCAGUUUCCUUCUAAUUCUCACAAUUUUACUUAGGAUCACUUGUUUACAGUCUGACAGCUGUCUGUUGUGUGACUGACGUUUCCAGGGGAGACACAACACACAAAGUCUACUCACUCCAGAUAGGGAGUCCCCAACAGACCAAAGUAAGGAUGCCGACCAAGGUCCAACUUGGUGAACCAAUGAGUUUAUUGGAGUGACUUAAAGUAAUAUGGAUGAGGGGUUACUUACAGGAGCAAAAAUGACUCAAAAACAGCUGCAUCAUCAAAGCCCACCCCAUAGCAUGGAUGACAGCUCACAAAAACUGGAAACCUGGAGCACACCACACAACCUGCAGGAAAGAGCGUCCUUGCCCAGUGCCUCAGUUUGUCUGAACCUGUGGCUCAGCUGGCUUCUCCUUCUUCCAGGCAGUAGAUCAUGUCUCAGAGUCUUCUCUGUAGCUUGGCUUGUCUGAGAGUGGCUCUCAGUAGUCUUUGUUGUUUCCUUUAGAGAAGAAGCCUAGUGAGUCAAGUCAGUUUCAGGGACUUCCUGAUUUUAAGUUGUUUUCUUUCUGUCUAAAAGAGCUUCUGUGCAACAAUGUCCCAGUAACUACAUUUCUGUUGCUUUUUCUUUCUUUGUAGAGACCAGGAUCUUGAUUACCUCCGUGUGAGCCUCUCUCCAUCCAUCUGCAAAGAGACUGUAUUUUCCUCUCCUUUCUCUCUGUCUUGCCAAGAGUCUUUCCUAAGAGCUGCCCAGGAAUGUAAAGGUGUGAAGGUGAAGAGUGAGGUUCAUAUCUGUGUGAGGACUUUGCUCACAAUUUUAAAUUACCUAAUAAAGUUGAAGCAAAAGAGGGGUAUUUAUCAAAGGUCACAUAAGUGACCUAAUGUUGUGUGCCUUUAAGACCCCCCCUUUGCUUCCUGUUCCCAUUAAAGGUA
This is a long non-coding RNA of Mesocricetus auratus (golden hamster), 11598 nucleotides long. RefSeq lists it as uncharacterized. The transcript has 7 exons. Lineage: Eukaryota; Metazoa; Chordata; Mammalia; Rodentia; Cricetidae. The record is from RefSeq and is a predicted model, not a curated record.